RNAcentral lists this transfer RNA (72 nucleotides) under Staphylococcus equorum. RNAcentral describes it as "tRNA-Met". The record is from RNAcentral. Lineage: Bacteria; Bacillati; Bacillota; Bacilli; Caryophanales; Staphylococcaceae.
CGCGGGAUGGAGCCGCGGUAGCUCGUCGCGCUCAUCACCCGCAGGUCGGGGGGUCAAAUCCGCCUCCCGCAA